This 246-nucleotide ribosomal RNA is filed under the name uncultured bacterium. Its description in RNAcentral is "partial 16S ribosomal RNA". It matches the Rfam family "Bacterial small subunit ribosomal RNA", at positions 531 to 776 of the family's 1533-position model. The record is from RNAcentral.
GGCCCAACCGUUAUUCGGAAUUACUGGGCUUAAAGAGUUCGUAGGCGGCAUUGCAAGUAGGGUGUGAAGGCCCUCGGCUCAACCGAGGAAUUGCGCUCUAAACUGCAGUGCUCGAGGAACCUAGAGGUGAGCAGAACAGAUGGUGGAGCGGUGAAAUGCGUUGAUAUCAUCUGGAAUACCGGAGGCGAAGGCGGCUCACUGGGGGUUUUCUGACGCUGAGGAACGAAAGCCAGGGUAGCGAACGGG